CUGGGUGUAGCGCAGAUGGUAGCGCACAAGUCUGGGGGGCUUGGGGUCGCAGGUUCAAGUCCUGUCACUCAGA
Molecule: transfer RNA, 73 nt
Filed under: Clostridium sp. BL8
Lineage: Bacteria; Bacillati; Bacillota; Clostridia; Eubacteriales; Clostridiaceae
Rfam family: tRNA
About the family: Transfer RNA (tRNA) molecules are approximately 80 nucleotides in length.
Source: Rfam by way of RNAcentral